AUAAUACCGGAUAUCGUGGGGUCCUGCAUAGGGCCUUGACAAAAGAUUUAUCGGCAGGGGAUGAGCUUGCGUCCGAUUAGCUAGUUGGCGGGGCAACGGCCCACCAAGGCGACGAUCGGUAGCCGGCCUGAGGGGGUGAUCGGCCACAUUGGGACUGAGAUACGGCCCAGACUCCUACGGGAGGCAGCAGUAGGGAAUAUUGCACAAUGGGGGAAACCCCGAUGCAGCAACGCCACGUGUGGGAAGAAGCAUUUCGGUGUGUAAACCACUGGCGUGAGGGAAUAAGGCUAUUUUUCGGAGUAGUUGAAUGUACCUCGAGAGGAAGCACCGGCAAACUUCGUGCCAGCAGCCGCGGUAAUACGAGGGGUGCAAGCGUUGUUCGGAAUCACUGGGCGUAAAGGGAGCGCAGGCGGAAGCUCAAGCGGAUUGUACAAUACCGGGGCCCAACCCCGGACCUGCAGUCCGAACUGGGUUUCUUGGAUAGUUCAGGGGCAAGCGGAAUUCCUGGUGUAGCGGUGGAAUGCGUAGAGAUCAGGAAGAACACCGAUGGCGAAGGCAGCUUGCUGGGGACUUAUCGACGCUCAUGCUCGAAAGUGCGGGUAGCAAACAGGAUUAGAUACCCUGGUAGUCCGCACCGUAAACGAUGCAUACUGGGUGUCCGCGGUUCGCCGCGGGUACCGUAGCCAACGCGUUAAGUAUGCCGCCUGGGGAGUACGUACGCAAGUAUG
RNAcentral lists this ribosomal RNA (728 nucleotides) under uncultured Fibrobacter sp. Its description in RNAcentral is "bacterial SSU rRNA". It matches the Rfam family "Bacterial small subunit ribosomal RNA", at positions 163 to 896 of the family's 1533-position model. The record is from RNAcentral. Lineage: Bacteria; Pseudomonadati; Fibrobacterota; Fibrobacteria; Fibrobacterales; Fibrobacteraceae.